GACAGGUCUGGUUCCCUCAAGGCGCUGUCUCACGGGAACGCAGUGAAAAUACAGAGGGAGACCGAAGAGAGGAAGGGGAGGGAAAGGGGAGGGAGAAGAGAGGCAGAGAAGUUUGAGAGAUGACCCCUGAUGCAGUCAGGCAGCGAGGGUGUCCCCCGCCCCAAGAACGGAGCGUCUCUUCACAGGGACCAGAAGCGCGGGCUGGCUCAGGAGCAAGUACAACUUCAUCGCAGAGGUGGUGGAGAAGGUGGCGCCGUCAGUGGUCCACUUACAGCUGUUCAGCAGGUCACCUCUCAGCAACAAGGAUGUCCCUGCGUCCAGUGCCUCUGGGUUCAUAGUGUCUGAGGAUGGGCUCAUUGUUACUAAUGCCCAUGUCCUCACCAACCGGCAUCGGAUCCAGGUAGAGCUCCAGAAUGGGGUCCAG
This 424-nucleotide long non-coding RNA is filed under the name Sus scrofa (pig). RNAcentral's name for it is "lncRNA (ENSSSCG00045003839.1)". The record is from RNAcentral. Lineage: Eukaryota; Metazoa; Chordata; Mammalia; Artiodactyla; Suidae.